AGUGAACGCUGGCGGUAGGCCUAACACAUGCAAGUCGAACGGCAGCACAGUAAGAGCUUGCUCUUACGGGAGGCGAGUGGCGGACGGGUGAGGAAUACAUCGGAAUCUACUUUUUCGUGGGGGAUAACGUAGGGAAACUUACGCUAAUACCGCAUACGACCUACGGGUGAAAGCAGGGGAUCUUCGGACCUUGCGCGAUUGAAUGAGCCGAUGUGGGAUUAGCUAGUUGGCGGGGUAAAGGCCCACCAAGGCGACGAUCCGUAGCUGGUCUGAGAGGAUGAUCAGCCACACUGGAACUGAGACACGGUCCCGACUCCUACGGGAGGGAACAGUGGGGAAUAUUGGACAAUGGGCGGAAGCCUGAUCCAGCCAUACCGCGUGGGUGAAGAAGGCCUUCGGGUUGUAAAGCCCUUUUGUUGGGAAAGAAAAGCAGCAGGUUAAUACCCCGCUGUUAUGACGGUACCCAAAGAAUAAGCACCGGCUAACUUCGUG
Molecule: ribosomal RNA, 492 nt
Filed under: uncultured bacterium
Lineage: Bacteria
Description: partial 16S ribosomal RNA
Rfam family: Bacterial small subunit ribosomal RNA
Source: RNAcentral